GCAUAUCCAAUAAGCGGAGGAAAAGAAACCAACAGGGAUUGCCUCAGUAACGGCGAGUGAAGCGGCAAAAGCUCAAAUUUGAAACCCUCGGGAUUGUAAUUUGAAGAUUUGGCAUUGGAGAAAGCUAACCCAAGUUACUUGGAAUAGUACGUCAUAGAGGGUGACAACCCCGUCUGGCUAACCGUUCUCCAUGUAUUGCCUUAUCAAAGAGUCGAGUUGUUUGGGAAUGCAGCUCAAAGUGGGUGGUAAACUCCAUCUAAAGCUAAAUACUGGUGAGAGACCGAUAGCGAACAAGUACUGUGAAGGAAAGGUGAAAAGAACUUUGAAAAGAGAGUGAAAUAGUAUGUGAAAUUGUUGAUAGGGAAGGAAAUGAGUGGAGAGUGGUUUAGGUUUCAGCCUUCUUUCGAGGGGGUGUACUACCAACGCCGAGUCAUUGUCAGCGAGACAGGGGUUAUAAACGGGUUGCCUUCUGGCUUCUCACCUAACCCCUCCACUGCCGACAACGACAUAAUCCACCCAUUUCACCCGUCUUGAAACACGGA
This 542-nucleotide ribosomal RNA is filed under the name fungal sp. CS-5. Its description in RNAcentral is "eukaryotic LSU rRNA". It matches the Rfam family "Eukaryotic large subunit ribosomal RNA", at positions 38 to 665 of the family's 3401-position model. The record is from RNAcentral. Lineage: Eukaryota; Fungi.